AAUAUAGAUCUAAUGGCAUAAAGCAUAAUAAAUAAUAUUCUAAAUAAUGAUAAAGAUAAAAGAAAUAAUAGUUGGACCAUAUCACACUCCUAUUUUAAUAGAAUAGAUUUGGGCGAAAAUACUCACUGGGCUUCUAAUAAUUUGUCAUAGCCAAUAUAAAUCAGCCCAAAUACAGACGAUAUCGUUUUGCCUUUUCCACUCUUCCACCUCACCAUCGUAGUUGCCGAUUCUGCAAAUCACCGUUUUUUUUUUUGGGUUAUUAUGAUCUACUCUUAAUAAUUCAAUCCAGUUCUUUACUCCUAUCUUGAUGAGCCAUGCUAUCCUUCCACCUCCCUUUUAUUUAUCCUCCUCUUAUAUAAAUCCUUUUGUAGAUGAGCCUGCUAUGUUUUUUACGCCGCUUGCGAUUUUAGUUCUUUUUGUACCAGUUGAAGCCAUUGCCUCAAAUCCAGACGGAUCAAAUUAAUUUUCGUCAUGAAUCAAUGCUGUCUUCCACUCCUUCCAGAGUUAAGACUUAUCCUCACAGCAGGUUUCCGCCGGGUGACUGAGCUGUGUGUCCUGCGAAGCUAUCCACGGUCAGGUCCAGUUUCGAGCGGAUACUUUUGAAAAGCAACAACGAGUGGUAAAGGCAGCAAAAAGCAGGAACAUACCACCAUGCCCGAGCAGAUGGUUUACAUGGACUCCAGAGAUUAUAUGAAGAAGAAAGUUCGGAGCGUAGUACCUGAGUCAUUUCGAAGUUUCUGUACGCCAUCCUGGUGACUAAGACAAGAGUAUUCUGUGAGGUUCCCUUCUACUAUUAAUCGUUAUCACAAAAAGUUUGGCUCUCAUCAGCUGGAAUCACUUCAUUUGAUUCACUUGCAGAAGCCAUACCUGGCCUCAAAAGAUGCCAUGUCCUUUGAUUUGCUUAAAAAGAAGCUCAUGUUAAGAUUAGAUACCUUCGGAAUCCGAAUUCUAAAGACUAACGAAGAGAUAAAUCUACACAAUGCAAGAAAAAAAUUAGAGAUUGACUUUGUUGAACAACAAUGAAAAACUUAUGUUGGUCAAAGGUCAUUGUUAAUUCUAGGAUAAACUACAUGGAUGGUCAUAUAUCCCAGUCGGUGGUUCCUUUCCACACACUGAACAAAAGAAUCUUGCCUUUGGUGUUGCAGCUAGCAUCGUACAUCCUGCAACAGGUUAUUCAGUUGUGACCUCUUUGUUUGAAGCUCCAAAGUACACAUCAGACAUAUAGGAUAUUUAAAACACGAUACUGCUUCCUUCACCAAACACAUCAACAUCAAUAUUUCAACACAAGGUGAUCUCUCCCUCGCCCACUGAGUUUACAGCUUUCAGACAAUUAUAAAACAUUUUAUUAACUUCCCUUUUUUUUGGUACCUUUGAUCAUUUACGGCCACAAGAAAAGAAACGAGAAAGAGCAUUCUUUCUCUUCGACGUUGCGCUCAUGCUUCAUCUAAGGCUUUAGGAGCUUCUUCCACAUUUUCUUCUGCCUUCCAUAAUGGUAAGGCAUCCCAUUGCUUAAGACAUUGAUUUGAUUCAGGUAACAAAAAAUGUAUGGAAAAUCAAGAUUAUUUCACUUGCUCAGGAUGUGGCAAAGGUUUAUAGGAUCAACAUUAUCAUGCUGUUGUAGUAAUCGUUUAGUAAAUGUGGUGUAUAUUGUAUAAAGUUUCGAUGUGAUGUUGAGACAAUUUAUUGUGAUGCACCUUAAUGAAGAACUAUGUUGACUUGAA
Molecule: long non-coding RNA, 1721 nt
Organism: Brassica napus (rape)
Lineage: Eukaryota; Viridiplantae; Streptophyta; Magnoliopsida; Brassicales; Brassicaceae
Exons: 4
Source: RefSeq, a predicted model, not a curated record